GACGAACGCUGGCGGCGUGCCUAAUACAUGCAAGUAGAACGCUGAAGAGAGGAGCUUGCUCUUCUUGGAUGAGUUGCGAACGGGUGAGUAACGCGUAGGUAACCUGCCUUGUAGCGGGGGAUAACUAUUGGAAACGAUAGCUAAUACCGCAUAACAAUGGAUGACACAUGUCAUUUAUUUGAAAGGGGCAAUUGCUCCACUACAAGAUGGACCUGCGUUGUAUUAGCUAGUAGGUGAGGUAACGGCUCACCUAGGCGACGAUACAUAGCCGACCUGAGAGGGUGAUCGGCCAAACUGGGAAUGGGACACGGCCCAGACUCCUACGGGAGGCAGCAGUAGGGAAUCUUCGGCAAUGGGGGCAACCCUGACCGAGCAACGCCGCGUGAGUGAAGAAGGUUUUCGGAUCGUAAAGCUCUGUUGUAAGUCAAGAACGAGUGUGAGAGUGGAAAGUUCACACUGUGACGGUAGCUUACCAGAAAGGGACGGCUAACUACGUG
Molecule: ribosomal RNA, 497 nt
Filed under: uncultured bacterium
Lineage: Bacteria
Description: partial 16S ribosomal RNA
Rfam family: Bacterial small subunit ribosomal RNA
Source: RNAcentral